GGGGGCGAAAGGAUUCGACGGAGCAGUGAACUUAGAAGCGCGCGCCGAGGUGCCCGUAGGCCUCGUAAAACCACGGGCAAAACACAACAGCCAAUUCUGAAUUGGCUCUGGCGGCUUAGCUGCCACGUCCGACCGGUCUGAGCCUGCCGAGGCUGGAUCGGGCGUCAUCAAGGUAGGCUGGUUCUCACGAUCCGCACGAGUCGGGAGGACGAGAACACAUCGAGCUAGCGAUUCCGUGACCUAGUCCGUUGGCGUCCGGGAUCGCGAAGGUGGAUAACGGACUACGCGCGUAGUGCUUCUUCCGGAUCUGCUUUCGGACGAGGGUUCAAUUCCCUCCGCCUCCACCA
Molecule: transfer-messenger RNA, 347 nt
Filed under: bacterium
Lineage: Bacteria
Also listed under: 2 other names
Description: WS-9 sp005893305 Standard tmRNA
Rfam family: transfer-messenger RNA
About the family: Bacterial tmRNA, also known as 10Sa RNA or SsrA, is named for its dual tRNA and mRNA-like properties.
Source: RNAcentral